UGAUCCUGGCUCAGGACGAACGCUGGCGGCGUGCCUAACACAUGCAAGUCGAACGGAGAAUUUCAAUAAGCUUGCUUAGAGAAAUUUUUAGUGGCGGACGGGUGAGUAACGCGUGGGUAACCUACCCAUAAACCCGGGACAACCCUUGGAAACGAGGGCUAAUACCGGAUAAACUUAAGACUUGGCAUCAAGUCUUAAGAAAAGGUGGCCUCUGAAGAUGCUACCGAUUAUGGAUGGACCCGCGUCUGAUUAGCUAGUUGGUGGGGUAAAGGCCUACCAAGGCGACGAUCAGUAGCCGGCCUGAGAGGGUGAACGGCCACACUGGGACUGAGACACGGCCCAGACUCCUACGGGAGGCAGCAGUGGGGAAUCUUCCGCAA
Molecule: ribosomal RNA, 380 nt
Filed under: uncultured bacterium
Lineage: Bacteria
Description: bacterial SSU rRNA
Rfam family: Bacterial small subunit ribosomal RNA
Source: RNAcentral